This 83-nucleotide transfer RNA is filed under the name Lactiplantibacillus phage Gut-P1. It matches the Rfam family "tRNA". Rfam says of the family: Transfer RNA (tRNA) molecules are approximately 80 nucleotides in length. Lineage: Duplodnaviria; Heunggongvirae; Uroviricota; Caudoviricetes. The record is from Rfam by way of RNAcentral.
GCUCUAGUGGUGUAAUUUGGCAGGCACGCAAGAUUUAGAAUCUUGUGUCGAGAGACGUGUAGGUUCGAGUCCUACCUAGAGCA